UAAACGGAAACAAAACGCUCGAGACACGAGUGCAAUGAGAUUUUAGUUUUCAGUAAACGUUUCUGAGUGAGGUUUUAUGUCGAUGCUUGUGAAUGACCAUACGAUAAUAUUACUAAAGUGAAGUUGGCGUUAUGGGAGUGCAUGGAGACUAUUCAACGAAAAUAGUUUGAGAACUACUGAUGCUGUCCGUUUUGUGCUUUAUUCUGCUGCUGUCUUUGACCGUGUCGCAAUUUGAGUUUUCAUAUAACAGAGAUACGCCAACAUACAUAAAGAAGGCAUUACGUGAGAAGAACAUGUACCGGCCGAGACCACAUCAGAAGAAAACCACAAUUAGUAACCUCACGCUCAAGCAAGUAUUUAAUAAAAUUAAAGAUAUCACCAGAGCUCUGAACAGUAACGCCAAGAAAAAUGGAUACAAAGUGGACUACAAGUUUAGAAUAUUAAAUAAUGAUUAGUGUUUAAUACUAGGCGAAUGUGUAAUGGGCCUAGCGUAGGUACAGUACGUAUUAAUGCAGUUGACUGUAAAAAUAAUUGAUUCCUAUUAAAUGCUGUUAAGUUCACAUGCUAUCACUGCUGAAAAAUACUACAUUACCAUUAAACUUGUAGACGCGUUGCACAGUUGUAAAAAAUAUUAGUUAUGUUAAAAUAAUUAUGCACUCAGCAUAAAAAUACUGCAUCAAAAUCGGUUUAUUAGUUUGGGAGCUACGAUGUCAGACAGACAGAUAUACAGAUACACAGAUCACAACUCAAACUUAUAAUAGUCCUCAUUCUGUCGGGGGUUAAAAAUGAAUUGUAAAAAUACUUGAAAUAUUUUGUUAUUUGCUAUAGAGUCAAAUAGGUGAUAAACUUGACAAAUAAAACUGUUACACAAAUAUCUGAAGCAAUUUCAAUGAAAAAUAAAGUAUAUAAAUCAAUAUAAAA
Molecule: long non-coding RNA, 921 nt
Organism: Manduca sexta (tobacco hornworm)
Lineage: Eukaryota; Metazoa; Arthropoda; Insecta; Lepidoptera; Sphingidae
Exons: 3
Source: RefSeq, a predicted model, not a curated record